RNAcentral lists this ribosomal RNA (423 nucleotides) under uncultured bacterium. RNAcentral describes it as "bacterial SSU rRNA". It matches the Rfam family "Bacterial small subunit ribosomal RNA", at positions 356 to 776 of the family's 1533-position model. The record is from RNAcentral.
GAGGAAUAUUGGACAAUGGAGGCAACUCUGAUCCAGCCAUGCCGCGUGCAGGAAGACUGCCCUAUGGGUUGUAAACUGCUUUUAUACAGGAAGAAACACCUCUACGUGUAGAGAUUUGACGGUACUGUAAGAAUAAGGAUCGGCUAACUCCGUGCCAGCAGCCGCGGUAAUACGGAGGAUCCAAGCGUUAUCCGGAAUCAUUGGGUUUAAAGGGUCCGUAGGUGGAUAAUUAAGUCAGAGGUGAAAUCCUGCAGCUUAACUGUAGAAUUGCCUUUGAUACUGGUUGUCUUGAGUUGUUAUGAAGUGGUUAGAAUAUGUAGUGUAGCGGUGAAAUGCAUAGAUAUUACAUAGAAUACCAAUUGCGAAGGCAGAUCACUAAUAAUAUACUGACACUGAUGGACGAAAGCGUGGGGAGCGAACAGG